This 814-nucleotide ribosomal RNA is filed under the name Staphylococcus sp. RNAcentral describes it as "bacterial SSU rRNA". It matches the Rfam family "Bacterial small subunit ribosomal RNA", at positions 64 to 864 of the family's 1533-position model. Lineage: Bacteria; Bacillati; Bacillota; Bacilli; Caryophanales; Staphylococcaceae. RNAcentral also lists the same sequence under 1 other name. The record is from RNAcentral.
GAACAGACAAGGAGCUUGCUCCUUUGACGUUAGCGGCGGACGGGUGAGUAACACGUGGGUAACCUACCUAUAAGACUGGGAUAACUUCGGGAAACCGGAGCUAAUACCGGAUAAUAUUUCGAACCGCAUGGUUCGAUAGUGAAAGAUGGUUUUGCUAUCACUUAUAGAUGGACCCGCGCCGUAUUAGCUAGUUGGUAAGGUAACGGCUUACCAAGGCGACGAUACGUAGCCGACCUGAGAGGGUGAUCGGCCACACUGGAACUGAGACACGGUCCAGACUCCUACGGGAGGCAGCAGUAGGGAAUCUUCCGCAAUGGGCGAAAGCCUGACGGAGCAACGCCGCGUGAGUGAUGAAGGUCUUCGGAUCGUAAAACUCUGUUAUUAGGGAAGAACAUACGUGUAAGUAACUAUGCACGUCUUGACGGUACCUAAUCAGAAAGCCACGGCUAACUACGUGCCAGCAGCCGCGGUAAUACGUAGGUGGCAAGCGUUAUCCGGAAUUAUUGGGCGUAAAGCGCGCGUAGGCGGUUUUUUAAGUCUGAUGUGAAAGCCCACGGCUCAACCGUGGAGGGUCAUUGGAAACUGGAAAACUUGAGUGCAGAAGAGGAAAGUGGAAUUCCAUGUGUAGCGGUGAAAUGCGCAGAGAUAUGGAGGAACACCAGUGGCGAAGGCGACUUUCUGGUCUGUAACUGACGCUGAUGUGCGAAAGCGUGGGGAUCAAACAGGAUUAGAUACCCUGGUAGUCCACGCCGUAAACGAUGAGUGCUAAGUGUUAGGGGGUUUCCGCCCCUUAGUGCUGCAGCUAACGCAUAAG